RNAcentral lists this ribosomal RNA (484 nucleotides) under uncultured bacterium. RNAcentral describes it as "partial 16S ribosomal RNA". It matches the Rfam family "Bacterial small subunit ribosomal RNA", at positions 30 to 507 of the family's 1533-position model. The record is from RNAcentral.
AUUGAACGCUGGCGGCAGGCCUAACACAUGCAAGUCGAGCGGAUGAAGGGAGCUUGCUCCUGGAUUCAGCGGCGGACGGGUGAGUAAUGCCUAGGAAUCUGCCUGGUAGUGGGGGAUAACGUCCGGAAACGGGCGCUAAUACCGCAUACGUCCUGAGGGAGAAAGUGGGGGCUCUUCGGACCUCACGCUAUCAGAUGAGCCUAGGUCGGAUUAGCUAGUUGGUGGGGUAAAGGCCUACCAAGGCGACGAUCCGUAACUGGUCUGAGAGGAUGAUCAGUCACACUGGAACUGAGACACGGUCCAGACUCCUACGGGAGGCAGCAGUGGGGAAUAUUGGACAAUGGGCGAAAGCCUGAUCCAGCCAUGCCGCGUGUGUGAAGAAGGUCUUCGGAUUGUAAAGCUCUUUAAGUUGGGAGGAAGGGCAGUAAGUUAAUACCUUGCUGUUUUGACGUUACCAACAGAAUAAGCACCGGCUAACUUCGUG